Molecule: ribosomal RNA, 460 nt
Filed under: uncultured bacterium
Lineage: Bacteria
Description: partial 16S ribosomal RNA
Rfam family: Bacterial small subunit ribosomal RNA
Source: RNAcentral
CCUACGGGGGGCUGCAGUGAGGAAUAUUGGUCAAUGGGCGCAAGCCUGAACCAGCCAAGUCGCGUGAGGGAUGACGGUCCUAUGGAUUGUAAACCUCUUUUGUCGGGGAGCAAGGCCCGCCACGUGUGGCGGGAAGGAGAGUACCCGAAGAAAAAGCAUCGGCUAACUCCGUGCCAGCAGCCGCGGUAAUACGGAGGAUGCGAGCGUUAUCCGGAUUUAUUGGGUUUAAAGGGUGCGUAGGCGGAAGGUUAAGUCAGCGGUAAAAUGUCGGUGCUCAACACCGGCCUGCCGUUGAAACUGGUCUUCUUGAGUGAGCGAGAAGUAUGCGGAAUGCGGGGUGUAGCGGUGAAAUGCAUAGAUAUCACGCAGAACUCCGAUUGCGAAGGCAGCAUACCGGCGCUCAACUGACGCUGAGGCACGAAAGCGUGGGGAUCGAACAGGAUUAGAUACCCCAGUAGUC